Molecule: ribosomal RNA, 778 nt
Filed under: Salmonella enterica subsp. enterica serovar Montevideo
Lineage: Bacteria; Pseudomonadati; Pseudomonadota; Gammaproteobacteria; Enterobacterales; Enterobacteriaceae
Description: partial 23S ribosomal RNA
Rfam family: Bacterial large subunit ribosomal RNA
Source: RNAcentral
UUUGAAGUGUGGACGCCAGUCUGCAUGGAGCCGACCUUGAAAUACCACCCUUUAAUGUUUGAUGUUCUAACGUGGACCCGUGAUCCGGGUUGCGGACAGUGUCUGGUGGGUAGUUUGACUGGGGCGGUCUCCUCCUAAAGAGUAACGGAGGAGCACGAAGGUUGGCUAAUCCUGGUCGGACAUCAGGAGGUUAGUGCAAUGGCAUAAGCCAGCUUGACUGCGAGCGUGACGGCGCGAGCAGGUGCGAAAGCAGGUCAUAGUGAUCCGGUGGUUCUGAAUGGAAGGGCCAUCGCUCAACGGAUAAAAGGUACUCCGGGGAUAACAGGCUGAUACCGCCCAAGAGUUCAUAUCGACGGCGGUGUUUGGCACCUCGAUGUCGGCUCAUCACAUCCUGGGGCUGAAGUAGGUCCCAAGGGUAUGGCUGUUCGCCAUUUAAAGUGGUACGCGAGCUGGGUUUAGAACGUCGUGAGACAGUUCGGUCCCUAUCUGCCGUGGGCGCUGGAGAACUGAGGGGGGCUGCUCCUAGUACGAGAGGACCGGAGUGGACGCAUCACUGGUGUUCGGGUUGUCAUGCCAAUGGCACUGCCCGGUAGCUAAAUGCGGAAGAGAUAAGUGCUGAAAGCAUCUAAGCACGAAACUUGCCCCGAGAUGAGUUCUCCCUGAGACUUUAGGUCUCCUGAAGGAACGUUGAAGACGACGACGUUGAUAGGCCGGGUGUGUAAGCGCAGCGAUGCGUUGAGCUAACCGGUACUAAUGAACCGUGAGGCUUAACCUUACA